UACGGAGGGGGCGAGCGUUAUUCGGAAUUAUUGGGCGUAAAGGGCGCGUAGGCGGCCCUGCAAGUCCAAGGUGAAAUCCCUCGGCUCAACUGAGGAACUGCCUUUGAAACUGCGGGGCUUGAGGCCGGGAGGGGGUAGCGGAAUUCCCAGUGUAGCGGUGAAAUGCGUAGAUAUUGGGAGGAACACCAGUGGCGAAGGCGGCUACCUGGACCGGUUCUGACGCUGAUGCGCGAAAGCGUGGGUAGCAAACAGG
This 253-nucleotide ribosomal RNA is filed under the name uncultured bacterium. RNAcentral's name for it is "partial 16S ribosomal RNA". It matches the Rfam family "Bacterial small subunit ribosomal RNA", at positions 524 to 776 of the family's 1533-position model. The record is from RNAcentral.